Penaeus monodon (black tiger shrimp) is the source of this 276-nucleotide long non-coding RNA. RefSeq lists it as uncharacterized. The record is from RefSeq and is a predicted model, not a curated record. NCBI's taxonomy places the organism in Eukaryota, Metazoa, Arthropoda, Malacostraca, Decapoda, Penaeidae. The transcript is spliced from 2 exons.
CAAAGAUCAUGGAGAAUUCACACCUUCAAUUAACUUGCAGAUCACACCUCCUUUCAAACCACAAGUAACAAGUGAGACAGAUACACGGUACUUCGACCGAGAGUUUACUGGAGAGUCGGUGCAGCUCACUCCCCCAGACCAGGGAGAACAUCUCAACAGCAUUGAUGAAGAGUCAGAAUACUUUACGUUCAACCAGUUUUCUUACCAAGAUAUCUCAUCAACCCUAGGCAGCUCACUAGCAUCAAGCCUCAAUUCCCUAGAUGUUACAGAAGAAGG